UAAGGAAUAUUGGACAAUGGAGGCAACUCUGAUCCAGCCAUGCCGCGUGAAGGAAUAAGGCCCUAUGGGUUGUAAACUUCUUUUAGACGGGACAAAACCCCUUUACGUGUAAAGGGUUGAUGGUACUGUCAGAAUAAGCAUCGGAUAACUUCGUGCCAGCAGCCGCGGUAAUACGAAGGAUGCAAGCGUUAUCCGGAAUUAUUGGGUUUAAAGGGUGCGUAGGCGGACUAAUAAGUCAGUGGUGAAAGCCUGCAGCUUAACUGCAGAAUUGCCAUUGNUACUGUUAGUCUUGAGUACAGUUGAGGUAGGCGUAAUGUGUCAUGUAGCGGUGAAAUGCUUAGAUAUGACACAGAACACCGAUUGCGAAGGCAGCUUGCUAAGCUGUAACUGACGCUGAGGCACGAAAGCGUGGGGAGCAAACA
Molecule: ribosomal RNA, 422 nt
Filed under: uncultured bacterium
Lineage: Bacteria
Description: bacterial SSU rRNA
Rfam family: Bacterial small subunit ribosomal RNA
Source: RNAcentral